Molecule: long non-coding RNA, 5056 nt
Organism: Ictidomys tridecemlineatus (thirteen-lined ground squirrel)
Lineage: Eukaryota; Metazoa; Chordata; Mammalia; Rodentia; Sciuridae
Source: RefSeq, a predicted model, not a curated record
AUCAAAUGCAAGCUGAUAAUUUUUACCACUGCGAAACUGAGAUUCACCCUAACUACCCCAACCUCGGGUUAGCCUCACUCGGUGUUGCUAAUGAAGGAAAGGGGAAGGAGGAUCCGAUCGGAGGCUCCUCCCAUUUGUUGAAAGCUGCUCCUUCUCUAGGGGCUUGUGAGUAAGGAACCGGGGGGCUUCCGGAAAGCUGUCAGGGAGGAGCAUGUGGCGCUCUGCCCCUAGCCCUCUCCUUUCUACUCCACACCGGAGGACGGUAACCCCAAAGGGCGAACAGCUGAGACGUGGGCCAGGUCAGCUCUAGCAGUCUGAUCUCCCUAAUCCUCAGGAGGGGCUGAGGGUUAAGAAGCGCGCCAUCUCCCCGCAGCAGAGCUGGUGACUCAGUUCCGUGGAAACUGUAAAACGCUCGGGGGGAAAAAAGAACCCCAUAAAUGCAAAGCAUUAUUAUGAGCCCUUCCUCCCCACGCACGUUUCACCUUCAUAAGGUAUUGUCCUUCUGGCCCAGUCGGAAUGAUCAAGUUAUAAAGGGAUCAGUCUCACCCAACCCAACAAGCGAACACUCAGCUAGAGCUUCAGACUCCUGCCAAAUGACCCCGCUUGCAUUUGCCUGGCCUCUGCCGGCUUCUGAAAGGAGAGACCAAGCAGGCCAGCAGAAAGUGCGCAGCCCCGGUGUCCUGGAUAUGACGAUUCACCAACGGUGGGCCUUUCCUUCUCUGAGCCUCAGUUUCCUCCCCUCCCCACCACGACUGUUGCAAGGCUGGGUGAAAUAAUCCUUUGGAAUUCCUGAAGCUUUGAGCCACAUAAAGUGGUUUGAGAAAAUAUGGCCAUACACCUGUCUUCACUUGGUCAACCAACUGAUCCUAAGCCAACGGUGUUCCUGAGCACUGACUGCAGGAGCCCAGGCCUGAGUCUGGAAGGACAGAGAGGAAGAAGGCUCUAUUUCUCUCUUCUCUUUAUGAAUUUAGAGUCUUCAAAUACAGUCUAGUCAGGAUUUACCAACUCAUCAGAUAAUCCUGGGUUGAAUCCUAGUACUGUAACCUAGAAGCCAAGCGGAGCUUUGGCAAAUGAUGAAAAUAUUCCUGAGCUGUUCCCUUCUCUGUCACAUGGGGAUGAUGAUGACACUUACCUUGCAGGAAUACUGUAGGAGUCCAGGAGAUAGCAGGCGUCUUUGCAUCUGCAAAUCUUUUCCUCUUCUCUUAGCCUUUAGCCUGGAGAAGCUCUGGGGGUGAGGACAGUCCACCAGCCCUGUGCAAGGCUGGUUUUUAUUUUGUUUUGUUCAUUAUUGGGGAUUGAACCCAGAGGCGCUCUACCACUGAGCCACAUCCCCAGCCCUCUUUAUUUUUUAUUUCAAAUCAGGGUCUCACUAAGUUACCCAGGCUGGCUCCAAACUUGUGACCCUCUUGUCUCAGCUCCCUAAGUAGCUGGAAUUAUAGGCAUGCGUCAUUACGCCUGGCAUGAAGGCUGUGUUCUUAAGGCCAAGGGCCCUUACCUCCACGGUCACAGGAAAGCAGGCUCAUGUUGUCUGUCUGUAAGCAGAGGCAGCAAAUUGACUGCCUGGCAGCCAAAACCAACUUUAGACACUUCUAACUUUUCCCUGUGUGAUGUUAAAAAAUAAAUUAAUCUGUUGCUAGUGAAUUUAGGGGUUCUCUUGAAAAUCAGAAGACUCAGACCUUUGACCUUGACUGAAGAUACCUUCUAUCUUUAGAUGAAUCAAGUAUUCUCCUGAAUACUUGUGACUUCCCACAGGGUAUCUAGCUGUGGUGAAAGAACACCAUUUAGUCCAGAUCCAGUUGGACUUCAAAAUUGUUAAAGAACCAAGCCAAAAGUGACCAGCAAGGGCAGCCUUGACCCUAAGAGGAUCUCCUGGAAUAAUAAAGGCUGACUGCAUUCACUAAUUCACAAGAAGUUAACUGAGCAAGAUGUGCAAGUUGCUGUACUGGCUACAGUGGGGCAAGAGAAAGAAUAUCUAUUGAGAACCUUCUUUGUGUCAGGCCCUGACAUGAGCUCAUCUAUCCUCCCAUCAGCUUUGGGAGGUAGGUAUUAAGAUUUCAGUUGCCAGGCUGGGGAUAUAGGUUAGUUGGUAGAGUGCUUGUCUCGCAUACACAUGGACUUCAGUAUAAAUAUUGGUUCAUUGUUGGUACUAUAGUAAUGUGGGAUGUUAUAAGGGCAACUGGGUGUGGGGUUUGUGGGACUCUUUACUACAUUCUCAAUUUUUUUAUAAAUCUAAAAUUGUUCUAAAAUAAAAUUUGUUCAAAAAAUAAAAGAACAGGGCUGGGGAUUCAGCUCAGGGAGAGAGCUCUUGCCUAGCCUGCACCAGACCCUGAGUUCAAUCCCCAAAAGUAAAAGGAUCAAGUCAAAUAGCUAUACUCCCAUCCCUGUUAUUUUAUAAAAAAAAUUUAAAAAAUUUAAGUCUCCAAUUUUGAUUUAUAAUACUAGAAAUAUCAGCAGGUAUAGCCACAUACACAAAAUUCAUAGGAUCCUCAACUUUUUUUUUAAAUUUUGCUUUGGGGUUGGGGGGUGGAUCUCUCUAAAUUGCCCAAGCUGGCCUCAAACUUGAAAUCCUUCUGCCUCAGCCUCCUGAGUAGCUGGGAUUGUAGGGAGCACCACAGCGCCUGACUGCAAAAUUUUAAAGGUCAUAAAGGGAUCCUAAGACCCAAAGGUUUCAGAACAGUUACACUAGUCUUAGGCUUAUUUAUUUAUUUUUUUCUCUUGGAGGUACUGAGAGAGUGAACUUGGGGCCUAUGUUCAUGCUAGGCAAGUGUUCUACCACUGCAUCUCCAGCUCCUGUCCUAAUCUUAGAUUCAUUUCCUUUAUUUCCUCUCCCUCUUCAGUCUCUGUUCCAUUUAUUAAGCACCUGUUAUAGGUGAUUGCUUGCUUUGGACCUCAGCUCCUUCUUGUUUAAAAGUAAGAUGAAACAGUUAAGAAGUUCACAUGCCUUACAAUUCCUGAUCUCUACCCUCCCCAAAUAUCUAAGCAGAUUUUCUUUUCUUCUUUUUUUUAAAUUUUUUAAAUUGUAGUUGGACACAAUACCUUUAUUUCACUCAUUUAUUUUUCUGUGGUGCUAAGGAUCGAACCCAGGGUCUCAUACAUGUGAGGUAAGCGCUCUGCCGCUGAGCCACCACCCCAGCCCUCUAAGCAGAUUUUCUCCAAGCUAUUUUCUUCUUCUUCCUUCAUUGUAUUAUUUGUCAUUUCAUAAACAUUAUAGAACAUCCUUUAAUAAUAGAUAAAAUGAGUUACUUGUUAUCAUUUAUCUAACCCAGACACUGUACUUGAUGCAAACAUUUAAUUUUUCCACAACCCUAUGAGGCAGGGGUUAUUCCCAUUUUACAAGUGAAAAGCUGAACGCUGAAUGAAUGAAGUGACUUGCUCAAGGUUGUGAAGGAAGUUGAUAGAGCCAGGAUGUGACCCAGGCCUAGUGGACUGCAGACAUGUGGGUCUAGCCUCCAUCCUGUAUCCUGUACUCACAAAUGUGUUCAGGAGGGAUGUGAACAAAUUGAUAAUGGAAUGCUCUCUGCUAUCAAGGAGAUAACAGGCUAGUGGAGAAGGUUGAACAACUUGGCAAAUUUAUUAUAUUUUAAAACUUAUUCUUACCCUAUAUUUUAAAGAAAAAAGUUUAAAGAACUUUAGCAGAAUGUGGUCAUUUACCACCAGAUUCUUCCAAGGUGUUGGGAAUAUUUAUAGUCUUUCACUGAGGGAUGGGAAGAGAAUUGGUGGGGCAAAAAUGUGGGUGGAGGUGGAGCUCAGUGGUAAGCCCUUGUCUAUAAUGCACAAGGUCCCGGGUUCAAUUCCCAAAACCACAAAAUAGAUAAAUUGUUUUUGCCAGAUAUGGUGGUAUAUGUCUGUAAUCUCAUUGAAUCAGGAGGCUGAGGCUUGAUCACAAGUCCAAGACCAGCCAUAGCAAUUUAGCCAGAUCCUGUCUCAAAAUAAAAAGCAAAUGGACUGGGGAUGUAGCUCAUUGGUAAUGUGUCUUGGGUUCAAUCCCCACAACCAGAAAAAAAGAAGAAAUUAAUUAAAAGAAAGUAAAUAAAUAGUUUUUAUAAAGCAAAAAGAGGCCUUGCACAUCAAGGAUUUACUGACUAGUGUGUUUUGGUGGCAGGUAUAAAAGCUCACAAAUAGCUACAAUAUUAGGAGGAAUGGUGCAUGUUCAAUAGAAGAGACACACCACUUCACCAGGUAGAGAGAGAGGACAUCUGACUGGAGCAAGUAAGAAAGGCUUCUUAGAAGAGGUGGAAUCUGCCAGGUGUGACGUUGCAUACCUGUAAUCCCAGUGGCUCAGGAGGCUGAGGCAAGAGGAUCGUAAGUUCAAAGCUGUUGUGGUGUGAACUGAUCAAUAAGUUAUAGGUAUAAGUUCUAGACUAUAGGAACAAGAUUUUGAUAAGUAAGAUAAUAAAAAUAAAAUAAUAGGUAAAUAUGUGUGUGUAGGCCACAAGUUAACUAUAGUCUUCAGUAAGCAUUAAAUAAGAUACUAAUACUGGUUAUGUAAAGCAAUUGCUGGGGUAAAACUACCAGAUCACUUGUAAUAGUUCCCUCCUUGUGGGAGUAGCAAGAAUGGAGUCACUAUGUCUACGAUCAAACAGUUGUGGCCAUAGGGACUCCAUCUCAUCUAUUCUAGACUUGACUUUGGUUUUUCUGUUACUGCUCCUGUGAAGAGACAUCUUCAGGACCCAUUCUGAGAAAACAAAAUGAAAACUGUUUUCUGCUAAAUGCAAAAAAUAUAUAUUGUCUUCUGAACUUUGUACCCCACAAAAUGUACUCAACCCAGGAUAUGGUGGUCUUGGUGACCUAUUUGACUUUGAAGUAGAUUCUCACCCCUUCUGAGCACCUGAUUAGACCCAAGAUGCAGUUGACUGAGUUAUUCUGCUAACAGCUUUUUUUUUUUUUUAGCUUCUGUAACUUGCUUGCUUGCUAACAGAAAAAUUCCAUAGGAUGUGGUUUUCUUCCUUAAAUAGCGAAUUUCCCUCAAAGGCUUUUGCUAUUCUCCCACAGAGCAUCAGUCACUAUCUACGGGUGACAGUCCCUGACCGGUAAAUAAAGCUCUCUUUUGUUUAAA